UAUGAUAUUUCACUUUAAUAAAACAUAAUGACUUAUUUCAUUAUUUUACAGCCUUAAAGUUACAAUUAUUGCAUGGACAUUUUCUGUAAUGUAUUGGGAAAAUGUGAUAUUUUAAUCAUAAAGAGACAGUUACUUAAUUAAAUACUUCAUAAAACACAAGCACAGGUUGCUCCUUUCCCCAAUAUUUUCAACUUUAACAUGAAAACAAGUCGCAGCAUAACCACUCUACUGUUUAUUAAUUAACCUUAAGUAUAGUAUUACCAAACAGCUGUUCUUAUUUGGUUAUUGUUUUAACUACUUGCUCUUUUACCUUGGCAAGCUUAACAAUCCAUGUUGGGCAUCGGACUGUGCCUGCAAAUGGCUGGGGAAUAAAGUCCUUGUUUAGAAUCUCAUUUUUAUUUUUUCAGAUCAUGUAAAUGACCUGCAGUUGUUUAUUAUUAACUUGUUCUAUCGGGUGGUGGUGUAACGUUGUGGGGCAAGUGUUCUUAAUUUAUUGCCCACUAGGCAAAAUCAAAUUUUCUGAUCUGAGGAAUGCCUACAACAUUUUGAGUCCAUGCCACAGAGAAUUCAGGCAGUUCUGAAGACAAAAGGUUGUCCGACCUGCUACUAACAAGGAGUGCCUAAUGCAGUAGUAAAGGAGUGUCUUUUAGUACUGUUUGUUUUGGUUUUCUAUCAAACCCCAAACUUUAUUUUGUCUUCUUUGUGUUUUAUCAGCUUUAUAUCUAUACUUAAAUCAUAACAACCUUUAAAAUCCCUUCAGAAAUCCACUCUGUGUCCUAAACUCCCAUCAUGUCAGUGGACAUCAUCUGCGUCUAAUGUUCAAUUUUCCUCACAACACCUGAGGCUAUUGAUUAAUUUUCUCUUUGUUUUCUCAUCAUCCCUCCCAAUGCUCCAGGCUCUGCUACCACCUCACAUAGAAACAGCAGUCUCUAGGGACUUCUUCUGUUUUGGCCCUCGUGCUAGUUAGUCAUCUCCUUUUUCCGAAAGCGCAGCAACAACCAACAUCAUAAGGAGAGCAAGGAAAUUCACCUAAAAGCCAACAUACAGUAUUUAUGUCUUGAGGUUUGCUGUCGCUGGAACAAAUAUCGACUAAAAACUUCUCCCUGGUCUCUCUCCUGCAACAGACAAAUUUUCACUAAACACCCCCUCAGUCGCACCUGUUACACAGCCGAAUCCAGCCGCCAAAAGUGAAUCCUUCAUGUGUGGGCACUGAGACGGCUUCACCAGCAGAACUCGCCCGACGUUAGCUGCUCUCACAACAGAAGGAAGCAGCAAACGCGGAAGAGAAUCCACCUGCAACGUUAAAGCAGCUUUGGAGACGGUUUGUCUCAGACCUUGGAGAACACACUUCACUAUAUGAGGAAGCCAAGUGAGCUGCUGCAGCAGGGGGGAUAUGACGUCCCAGUCCUCACUGAAGGAGUGUGUGUCACUUUCAAGCUGCAGGAAGAAAAAGCACUGCCUAAUUUGGAGAUGAUGAGCUUGUUUUACUCACUGCAUGUCUUUCUGCUCGCAAAAAGCAACAUAUGAAUACGUACACAACAGCCUGACCGCACAUGGAAGACAUUUUCUUUCAACAGUAGCAACAAUUGAUUUUGUAGUACAAUAAAUACAAUGACUGCUACAUUAUCAUUAUGCACUCAAAACUGUCCUUUUCCAUAAUGUUGCACAGUUUGACUUCUAUCAUCGGUACAAUAUCCUGCAAGUGAAACUAACAGAACUUUGAAGGAAUUUAAACACAAUACACCACCAUGUCGUUAAAAGACAACUAAAGGUCAAUUUAGUGACAGAAACUGCAUUUGUCUCAUUUAUGCGUAUAAUUUGUGUGCUGUAUAUAUUAUUUAUGGCGGUUACGCAUAAACACAGUGAAAAAGGCACGUCUUUGUUCUGUGCUGCGGUUGAGCUUUGUUGUGUUCAGUCAGCUGAAUAGAUUAGAAUGAUAUAAUUUACAUUUAAAACAGUUUUUUUCCCCCAGUAACUCAAUGUUUGCUGAAUGACACUGAAACAAAAAUGGCAAUUAAAAUCUAACCACAAAUUAAGUUCAAGGUCUACUUGAACUUAAUUCAAGUAGACAAACAAACAAACAAAACUAACUAACUAACUAACUAACUAACUAACUAACUAACUAACUAACUAACUGAGGUUCAUAACAUCUCUUUCAAACAUUAUCAGUCUUUAUUAAAUAAGCAUUUAUUUUGCUAUUUCAUUUGUAUUUUUGCUACAGAAGCAAAGAUAAGCCAAUACAGUACUAAAGGAUGCAAUAUGAAAAGAGAACACUGAUUGUACAAAUCAAAAAUAUUUGUGUGAAUCACAAUCAACUGCCUUGAUGCUGAAAUGUACUGUACAAAUAAAUUUGAUUGACUGAUUGAAUCAGACUGAGAUAACUGGAGAUAGCUGCUGUAAUAUAGCAAUAAUGUUGCAAUAAUCAUUCAUAUUUCUGAUUUUCCUUCUUAACCAAAUAUGCUCUGCAAUGCAACCUCACAGCAGAAACUGGUUUAUUUGGUCAUUUAAGCUAUCCAGUCGACAGCACAUUCUUUCUCGCCAUUAAAACGUCCGGAAACAUAA
Poecilia latipinna (sailfin molly) is the source of this 2562-nucleotide long non-coding RNA. RefSeq lists it as uncharacterized. The record is from RefSeq and is a predicted model, not a curated record. The transcript has 2 exons. NCBI's taxonomy places the organism in Eukaryota, Metazoa, Chordata, Actinopteri, Cyprinodontiformes, Poeciliidae.